This 492-nucleotide ribosomal RNA is filed under the name uncultured bacterium. Its description in RNAcentral is "partial 16S ribosomal RNA". It matches the Rfam family "Bacterial small subunit ribosomal RNA", at positions 29 to 507 of the family's 1533-position model. The record is from RNAcentral.
AGUGAACGCUGGCGGUAGGCCUAACACAUGCAAGUCGAACGGCAGCACAGUAAGAGCUUGCUCUUACGGGUGGCGAGUGGCGGACGGGUGAGGAAUACAUCGGAAUCUACUUUUUCGUGGGGGAUAACGUAGGGAAACUUACGCUAAUACCGCAUACGACCUACGGGUGAAAGCAGGGGAUCUUCGGACCUUGCGCGAUUGAAUGAGCCGAUGUCGGAUUAGCUAGUUGGCGGGGUAAAGGCCCACCGAGGCGACGAUCCGUAGCUGGUCUGAGAGGAUGAUCAGCCACACUGGAACUGAGACACGGUCCAGACUCCUACGGGAGGCAGCAGUGGGGAAUAUUGGACAAUGGGCGCAAGCCUGAUCCAGCCAUACCGCGUGGGUGAAGAAGACCUUCGGGUUGUAAAGCCCUUUGGUUGGGAAAGAAAAGCAGCAGGUUAAUACCCCGCUGUUCUGACGGUACCCAAAGAAUAAGCACCGGCUAACUUCGUG